RNAcentral lists this ribosomal RNA (254 nucleotides) under uncultured bacterium. RNAcentral's name for it is "partial 16S ribosomal RNA". It matches the Rfam family "Bacterial small subunit ribosomal RNA", at positions 524 to 776 of the family's 1533-position model. The record is from RNAcentral.
UACGGGGGGAGCAAGCGUUGUUCGGAUUUACUGGGCGUAAAGGGCGCGUAGGCGGCCUCUGCAAGUCGACUGUGAAAUCUCCGGGCUUAACCCGGAAAGGUCAGCCGAUACUGCAGGGCUAGAGUGCAGAAGGGGCAACUGGAAUUCUCGGUGUAGCGGUGAAAUGCGUAGGUAUCGAGAGGAACACCUGCGGCGAAGGCGGGUUGCUGGGCUGACACUGACGCUGAGGCGCGAAAGCUAGGGGAGCGAACGGG